GACAGAGGUGCCGAGCGUUGGGCGGAAUCACUGGGCUUAAAGCGCGUGUAGGCGGGCCUUCAAGUCGGACGUGAAAGCCCUGAGCUCAACUCAGGAACUGCAUCCGAAACUGAAGGUCUGGAGUAGUGGAGAGGAAAGCAGAAUUCCUGGUGUAGAGGUGAAAUUCGUAGAUAUCAGGAGGAACACCGGUGGCGAAGGCGGCUUUCUGGACACUUACUGACGCUGAGACGCGAAAGCGUGGGGAGCAAACAGG
This 253-nucleotide ribosomal RNA is filed under the name uncultured bacterium. RNAcentral's name for it is "partial 16S ribosomal RNA". It matches the Rfam family "Bacterial small subunit ribosomal RNA", at positions 524 to 776 of the family's 1533-position model. The record is from RNAcentral.